UAGCAUAUAUUAAAGUUGCUGCGGUUAAAAAGCUCGUAGUUGAACAUCAACCAAGAAUGAUGAGUUCAGAUUCAGACUUGACACUCAAUCAUCCUUGGCAACACCGUGGCGAAUGCAUCUGCGCUCUCAUGCGUUGGGCACUCUCUGCGAUCUUUACUUCGAGGAAAUUGGAGUGCUUCAAGCAGGCCAAAGCUUGCACAUACUAGCAUGGAAUAAUUCUACUAUGCCUCAGUUCUCUUUUGCUGGCUUUGAAAUCUGAGGAAAAGACCGAUAGGGACAGUUGGGGGCACUCGUAUUCGACGGUUAGAGGUGAAAUUCUUGAAUUCGUUGAGGCCGGUCUACUGCGAAGGCAUUUGCCAAGGAUGUUUUCAUUGAUCAAGAACGAAAGUUAGGGGAUCGAAGAUGAUCAGAUACCGUCCUAGUCUUAACCAUAAACAAUGCCAGCUAGUGAUUGAAUGUUGUUUAAUGCACGGCACAUUCGGCACCUCGUGAGAAAUCAAAGUCUUUGGGUUCCGGGGGGAGUAUGGUCGCAAGGCUGAAACUUAAAGAAAUUGACGGAAGGGCACCACCAGGAGUGGAGCCUGCGGCUUAAUUUGACUC
This 600-nucleotide ribosomal RNA is filed under the name uncultured marine eukaryote. Its description in RNAcentral is "SSU rRNA". It matches the Rfam family "Eukaryotic small subunit ribosomal RNA", at positions 595 to 1201 of the family's 1831-position model. The record is from RNAcentral.